GAGUUUGAUCGUGGCUCAGAUUGAACGCUGGCGGCAUGCCUUACACAUGCAAGUCGAACGGCAGCACGGGAGCUUGCUCCUGGUGGCGAGUGGCGAACGGGUGAGUAAUGCAUCGGAACGUAUCCUGGAGUGGGGGAUAACGUAGCGAAAGUUACGCUAAUACCGCAUAUUCUGUGAGCAGGAAAGCGGGGGACCUUCGGGCCUCGCGCUCUUGGAGCGGCCGAUGUCGGAUUAGCUAGUUGGUGAGGUAAAGGCUCACCAAGGCGACGAUCCGUAGCAGGUCUGAGAGGAUGAUCUGCCACACUGGAACUGAGACACGGUCCAGACUCCUACGGGAGGCAGCAGUGGGAAUUUUGGACAAUGGGGGCAACCCUGAUCCAGCCAUGCCGCGUGAGUGAAGAAGGCCUGGUGUAAG
Molecule: ribosomal RNA, 415 nt
Filed under: bacterium enrichment culture clone ALO1_GLFRUDD03F2JJX
Lineage: Bacteria
Description: bacterial SSU rRNA
Rfam family: Bacterial small subunit ribosomal RNA
Source: RNAcentral